Molecule: ribosomal RNA, 247 nt
Filed under: uncultured bacterium
Lineage: Bacteria
Description: partial 16S ribosomal RNA
Rfam family: Bacterial small subunit ribosomal RNA
Source: RNAcentral
AGAUGGCGACCGGCGCACGGGUGAGUAACACGUAUCCAACCUGCCGAUAACUCGGGGAUAGCCUUUCGAAAGAAAGAUUAAUACCCGAUGGCAUAAUUAGACCGCAUGGUCUUAUUAUUAAAGAAUUUCGGUUAUCGAUGGGGAUGCGUUCCAUUAGGCAGUUGGUGAGGUAACGGCUCACCAAACCUUCGAUGGAUAGGGGUUCUGAGAGGAAGGUCCCCCACAUUGGAACCGAGACACGGUCCAA